AGCAGCCGCGGUAAUUCCAGCUCCAAUAGCGUAUAUUAAAGUUGUUGCAGUUAAAAAGCUCGUAGUUGAAUUUCGGGAUUGACACAUCGGUCGUGCUCUAAGGGGUAUGAACUGGUGUAGUCAGUUUCUCACCUUCUGGAGAACCGCGAUGUCCUUAAUUGGGUGCCGCGAGGAACCAGGACCUUUACUUUGAAAAAAAUUAGAGUGUUUAAAGCAGGCAUUUUGCUUGAAUACAUUAGCAUGGAAUAAUAAAAUAAGACGGAUGGUUCUAUUUUGUUGGUUUCUAGGAUCACCGUAAUGAUUAAUAGGGAUAGUUGGGGGCAUUAGUAUUCAAUUGUCAGAGGUGAAAUUCUUGGAUUUAUUGAAGACUAACUACUGCGAAAGCAUUUGCCAAGGAUGUUUUCAUUAAUCAAGAACGAAAGUUAGGGGAUCGAAGACGAUCAGAUACCGUCGUAGUCUUAAACCAUAAACUAUGCCGACUAGGAAUCAGACGAUGUUAAUUUUUU
RNAcentral lists this ribosomal RNA (506 nucleotides) under uncultured Entrophospora. RNAcentral's name for it is "SSU rRNA". It matches the Rfam family "Eukaryotic small subunit ribosomal RNA", at positions 569 to 1072 of the family's 1831-position model. The record is from RNAcentral. Lineage: Eukaryota; Fungi; Glomeromycota; Glomeromycetes; Entrophosporales; Entrophosporaceae.